UGAAUACGAGAUGCUACGGCGUCGAAGCAGUCUAUGUCAUACUUCCAAGAAAAGCUCGCACUGUCAUAAACAAAUAAUGCCUGUACCAUAACCGACACAGGUGGGUAGGUAGAGUAUACUAAGGGGCGCGAGAUAACUCUCUCUAAGGAACUCGGCAAAAUGACUCCGUAACUUCGGGAGAAGGAGUGCCUUAUUUAUAAGGUUGCAAUAACAAGAUCCAAGCAACUGUUUAUCAAAAACACAGGUCUCCGCUAAGUCGUAAGACGAUGUAUGGGGGCUGACGCCUGCCCAGUGCCAGAAGGUUAAAGAAGUUGGUUAGCAUUCGCGAAGCUGAUAACUGAAGCCCUGGUGAACGGCGGCCGUAACUAUAACGGUCCUAAGGUAGCGAAAUUCCUUGUCGGGUAAGUUCCGACCCGCACGAAAGGCGUAAUGAUUUGGAUACUGUCUCGGAGAGGGGCUCGGUGAAAUAGACUUGUCUGUGAAGAUGCGGACUACCUGCACCAGGACAGAAAGACCCUAUGAAGCUUUACUGUAACUUGAGAUUGAAAUUGGACUUUACUUGCGCAGUAUAGGUGGGAGGCGUUGAUAAUAUUCUUGCGGGAUUAUUUGAGCCAUCAGUGAGAUACCACUCUUGUAAUGUUAGAUUUCUAACUUUGUAUCAUUAUCUGGUCAAAGGACAGUUUCAGGCGGGCAGUUUGACUGGGGCGGUCGCCUCCUAAACGGUAACGGGGGCGCACAAAGGUUUCCUCUGAACGGGUAGAAAUCGUAUCUAGAGUGUAAAGGCAUAAGGAAGCUUGACUGUGAGACCUACAAGUCGAGCAGGGACGAAAGUCGGUCUUAGUGAUCUGACGGUGCUGAGUGGAAAGGCCGUCACUCAACGGAUAAAAGUUACUCUAAGGAUAACAGGCUGAUCUCCCCCAAGAGUUCACAUCGACGGGGAGGUUUGGCACCUCGAUGUCGGCUCAUCGCAUCCUGGGGCGGUAGUACGUCCCAAGGGUUGGGCUGUUCGCCCAUGAAAGCGGUACGCGAGCUGGGUUCAGAACGUCGUGAGACAGUUCGGUCCAUAUCCGGUGUAGGCGUUAGGAUAUUGAGAGGAGCCUUCUUUAGUACGAGAGGACCGAGAAGGACAUACCUCUGGUGUACCAGUUAUCGUGCCAACGGUAAACGCUGGGUAGCUAUGUAUGGAGUGGAUAACCGCUGAAAGCAUCUAAGUGGGAAGCCCACCUCAAGAUAAGUA
This 1237-nucleotide ribosomal RNA is filed under the name metagenome. RNAcentral's name for it is "bacterial LSU rRNA". It matches the Rfam family "Bacterial large subunit ribosomal RNA", at positions 1564 to 2810 of the family's 2925-position model. The record is from RNAcentral.